GGAACCGUGGCUCAAUGGUAGAGUAUCUGCAUGGCAGGGGGAAGGUCCCAGGUUCAAUACCUGGCAUUUCCA
RNAcentral lists this transfer RNA (72 nucleotides) under Sphaerodactylus townsendi. Its description in RNAcentral is "tRNA-Ala". It matches the Rfam family "tRNA". Rfam says of the family: Transfer RNA (tRNA) molecules are approximately 80 nucleotides in length. Their secondary structure includes four short double-helical elements and three loops (D, anti-codon, and T loops). Further hydrogen bonds mediate the characteristic L-shaped molecular structure. tRNAs have two regions of fundamental functional importance: the anti-codon, which is responsible for specific mRNA codon recognition, and the 3' end, to which the tRNAs corresponding amino acid is attached (by aminoacyl-tRNA synthetases). tRNAs cope with the degeneracy of the genetic code in two manners: having more than one tRNA (with a specific anti-codon) for a particular amino acid; and 'wobble' base-pairing, i.e. permitting non-standard base-pairing at the 3rd anti-codon position. The record is from RNAcentral. Lineage: Eukaryota; Metazoa; Chordata; Lepidosauria; Squamata; Sphaerodactylidae.